Molecule: ribosomal RNA, 770 nt
Filed under: uncultured Acaulosporaceae
Lineage: Eukaryota; Fungi; Glomeromycota; Glomeromycetes; Diversisporales; Acaulosporaceae
Description: eukaryotic LSU rRNA
Rfam family: Eukaryotic large subunit ribosomal RNA
Source: RNAcentral
GUCAAGUAAGAAUACCCGCUGAACUUAAGCAUAUCAAUAAGCGGAGGAAAAGAAACUAACUAGGGUUCCCUUAGUAACGGCGAGUGAACUGGGAAGAGCUCAAAUUUUAAAUCACUUUGGUGAAUUGUAAUUUGAAGAAAGUGUUUUGACUUUUCAGUUUAAUCUAAAUCCUUUGGGAUGAGGUAUCAUAGAGGGUGAGAAUCCCGUUUGUGAUUAAACCUCGGAUUGCACUAAUUCACUUUCUAAGAGUCGAGUUGUUUGGGAUUGCAGCUCUAAAUGGGUGGUAAAUUUCACCUAAGGCUAAAUAUAUGCAAGAGACCGAUAGCGAACAAGUACCGUGAGGGAAAGAUGAAAAGAACUUUGAAAAGAGAGUUAAACAGUACGUGAAAUUGUUGAAAGGGAAACGAUUGAAGUCAGUCAUGCUAGUGAGGAAUCAACUUGGUGGUUUACUUCCUUGUGUAUUUUCUUACUUGGCAGGUUAGCAUCAAUUUUGGUUGUCAUCAAAUAAUUGGGGGAAUGUGGCUUUUCUUCGGAAAAGUGUUAUAGACCUUGAUAGAUGUGGCGACUGGGAUUGAGGUUUGCAGCGGAUGCCUUUGGCUAGUCACCUAUCUUCUGACCGUCACCUCACUUUUGACAGCUUGCUGAUGAUUGCGGGAUUUGGUGGCCCAGAAGUUAGAAUGUACAUAAAUUCGCUAAGGAUGCUGACGUAAUGGCUUUAAACGACCCGUCUUGAAACACGGACCAAGGAGUCUAACAUAUGUGCGAGUGUU